RNAcentral lists this ribosomal RNA (465 nucleotides) under uncultured Klebsiella sp. RNAcentral describes it as "bacterial SSU rRNA". It matches the Rfam family "Bacterial small subunit ribosomal RNA", at positions 338 to 795 of the family's 1533-position model. Lineage: Bacteria; Pseudomonadati; Pseudomonadota; Gammaproteobacteria; Enterobacterales; Enterobacteriaceae. The record is from RNAcentral.
CCUACGGGGGGCUGCAGUGGGGAAUAUUGCACAAUGGGCGCAAGCCUGAUGCAGCCAUGCCGCGUGUGUGAAGAAGGCCUUCGGGUUGUAAAGCACUUUCAGCGGGGCGGAAGGCGGUGAGGUUAAUAACCUCAUCGAUCGACGUUACCCGCAGAAGAAGCACCGGCUAACUCCGUGCCAGCAGCCGCGGUAAUACGGAGGGUGCAAGCGUUAAUCGGAAUUACUGGGCGUAAAGCGCACGCAGGCGGUCUGUCAAGUCGGAUGUGAAAUCCCCGGGCUCAACCUGGGAACUGCAUUCGAAACUGGCAGGCUAGAGUCUUGUAGAGGGGGGUAGAAUUCCAGGUGUAGCGGUGAAAUGCGUAGAGAUCUGGAGGAAUACCGGUGGCGAAGGCGGCCCCCUGGACAAAGACUGACGCUCAGGUGCGAAAGCGUGGGGAGCAAACAGGAUUAGAUACCCGUGUAGUC